Molecule: ribosomal RNA, 981 nt
Filed under: Escherichia coli
Lineage: Bacteria; Pseudomonadati; Pseudomonadota; Gammaproteobacteria; Enterobacterales; Enterobacteriaceae
Description: partial 23S ribosomal RNA
Rfam family: Bacterial large subunit ribosomal RNA
Source: RNAcentral
CAUAGGUUAAUGAGGCGAACCGGGGGAACUGAAACAUCUAAGUACCCCGAGGAAAAGAAAUCAACCGAGAUUCCCCCAGUAGCGGCGAGCGAACGGGGAGCAGCCCAGAGCCUGAAUCAGUGUGUGUGUUAGUGGAAGCGUCUGGAAAGGCGCGCGAUACAGGGUGACAGCCCCGUACACAAAAAUGCACAUGCUGUGAGCUCGAUGAGUAGGGCGGGACACGUGGUAUCCUGUCUGAAUAUGGGGGGACCAUCCUCCAAGGCUAAAUACUCCUGACUGACCGAUAGUGAACCAGUACCGUGAGGGAAAGGCGAAAAGAACCCCGGCGAGGGGAGUGAAAAAGAACCUGAAACCGUGUACGUACAAGCAGUGGGAGCCUCUUUUAUGGGGUGACUGCGUACCUUUUGUAUAAUGGGUCAGCGACUUAUAUUCUGUAGCAAGGUUAACCGAAUAGGGGAGCCGAAGGGAAACCGAGUCUUAACUGGGCGUUAAGUUGCAGGGUAUAGACCCGAAACCCGGUGAUCUAGCCAUGGGCAGGUUGAAGGUUGGGUAACACUAACUGGAGGACCGAACCGACUAAUGUUGAAAAAUUAGCGGAUGACUUGUGGCUGGGGGUGAAAGGCCAAUCAAACCGGGAGAUAGCUGGUUCUCCCCGAAAGCUAUUUAGGUAGCGCCUCGUGAAUUCAUCUCCGGGGGUAGAGCACUGUUUCGGCAAGGGGGUCAUCCCGACUUACCAACCCGAUGCAAACUGCGAAUACCGGAGAAUGUUAUCACGGGAGACACACGGCGGGUGCUAACGUCCGUCGUGAAGAGGGAAACAACCCAGACCGCCAGCUAAGGUCCCAAAGUCAUGGUUAAGUGGGAAACGAUGUGGGAAGGCCCAGACAGCCAGGAUGUUGGCUUAGAAGCAGCCAUCAUUUAAAGAAAGCGUAAUAGCUCACUGGUCGAGUCGGCCUGCGCGGAAGAUGUAACGGGGCUAAA